Long non-coding RNA from Branchiostoma floridae (Florida lancelet), 1412 nucleotides. RefSeq lists it as uncharacterized. The transcript has 3 exons. The record is from RefSeq and is a predicted model, not a curated record. NCBI's taxonomy places the organism in Eukaryota, Metazoa, Chordata, Leptocardii, Amphioxiformes, Branchiostomatidae.
UGUCGUCCAUAAAUAUUAUCUCUGACCAGGCCUCAUACUAGUAACUCAGCCUGACGAUAGUCCCCGACUAAAGUAUUCAAGUAUCGCAGACCAAGAGGAUGUCGGGAGCUGAAGCGAUCAGUGCGGAAAGAGGAAAAACCUGUUCUCCAUGCGUUACCUAAUGUAGAGCAGUGCCCCACAGAGUUAGACAACUCAUCCCUGUAUACGUGUACGUGUAUGUGUACGUCCGUACCUAGAUGUAAACAUCUAAGAAGAAGGUUACAGGUAUUUGCCGCAUCUCCAGAAAGACUAACGUGUGACGGUUAAAUACUCUCAGCAAAAAUUUUCAAGCUGGCGUGUUGUGGACUUACUUCUAACUUCCGGAACUUACUCAUUCUUGUCAAGUCAUGGUAUAAAGCUCCAACACCUAUGGAGGAACAUUGGGACCCGCCGAGAUUGAAGACAAAGAGAUGUAUACUGCAUCAGAGGGACACAGGAAGUACAGUAAACAACUUGGAGAAGGAUGUCUACGCGCACAGGUCCCAGCAGUGGCAGAAGUAUGGAAGUCAAGGAGCUCUGCUUUCUUAUGAGAUUGUUGAACCUCAACCGGACUGAAUCUGAGCACAAUCUUAACAAUUGUAAAUAGAAGUACGGAUACACAUGUACAUGUAGUCACCUCUACAUAACGACUACCUGGCCAGUGUGACCCCUUUUUGGUGGUCCUUUUACACAAGAAUUAAUCAACAUAUAGUGACCACCUGUCCAUAUAGACCAGGCUUAAUUGGUCCCCUGAGUGGUCUUCUUGGGCAGAGUUGACUGUACAGCAGCGUUUUAUAAAGCAAACUCGUCUGUUGGACUGAACCAUUUAACAGAAGUGAAACAAGCUGAUAAAACAUUCCCCAAGGUGGUUGCUGAGUUCACGGAGGUUGUAACCCCCUUGCAAACUGAAGAACGAGUAAAUAUUAUAUUCUCUACACAUAAUAAGAUCAUGUAAUAUUUCACCGGACAAAUCCGGACUGUCCAUCAUAAUUAGCAUUAAUAGCAUGGUCAUUAGCAGUCCAACCAAUAGCAAUGAGUGGCUGUAUGUCUUUGAAAUAGUUUUUUUCAAUGUUUUUAUUUUGCAUUACUUGGUUUUGACGUCAGUUGAAUGGAAUCGGUCUGUAUGAUUUGUGUAUACUGGUACAAGAUUUACUUUUUGAAUACUUUACAUAUACUGUAUAUGGACAAGAAUGGUGCUGGAAAAUGAUAUGAAAGAUAUAUGUGGUGUCAAAGCUUAACUUUAUUUUACAACAGGUAUCAUGAAAAACAAAACAUGUCCAGGAAUGGAUAGAUCAUUUUAAUAAAAACACUACUUACAAAAAUGUAUCAAUAAGUUACAAUAUACAAACAUUGAGGUCACAUGUGCAUGGUUACAAGAUGUAACUAAUGAAAUG